UCUUCUCACUCAAGCUUUUCUUAUAUUUCCAUUAGGAAUUCGUUGAUUUUCUUUGCCAUUAAAAUGAGUUUUGAAGGAUUUCUAUCUCCAAACAUGGCUGAUAUGGCUGGUAAGAGUCGCGUUGUUUGUUGUGGUCCAAGCCCUAGUUUUUAUCGUACUGUCCAAGUCCUCAAACUCAUUCCGCACUGGAAUGAAUUCCUUCAAGACUGUGAGGUCUCCGAGAGUUGGGAGAAUUCUUGCUGUGUUUUUCCACAUGCCUCAAGGCGAACGAUCUCCGAUGCGCUCGCCCCCGCCGAACCCUACAGAAUCCAAAGCAUAGUUCUCUGUGUGUGCUAGGGAGAGAGAGAGAGAUAAGCAUUUGUUGUGUUGGAGCUUUAAGCCUGCCAUCUUCAUGUGGUUUUGUGCUUGGAUGGUUUGUGUGCCUCUACUUGUUAAGAGAAGACUUAAGAGUGAUUAACUUUUUGUUUAAGAAGAUUCAUUUAGAUUGGUUUUGACACUUUCUAACUGUUUGCUUUCCGUGUAAG
RNAcentral lists this long non-coding RNA (524 nucleotides) under Amborella trichopoda. RNAcentral describes it as "long non-coding RNA (ATRI_LNC003796)". Lineage: Eukaryota; Viridiplantae; Streptophyta; Magnoliopsida; Amborellales; Amborellaceae. The record is from RNAcentral.